CCUACGGGAGGCAGCAGUGAGGAAUAUUGGUCAAUGGACGAGAGUCUGAACCAGCCAAGUAGCGUGAAGGAUGACUGCCCUAUGGGUUGUAAACUUCUUUUAUAUGGGAAUAAAAUGUUGCACGUGUGGGAUUUUGUAUGUACUAUAUGAAUAAGGAUCGGCUAACUCCGUGCCAGCAGCCGCGGUAAUACGGAGGAUCCGAGCGUUAUCCGGAUUUAUUGGGUUUAAAGGGAGCGUAGGUGGGUUGUUAAGUCAGUUGUGAAAGUUUGCGGCUCAACCGUAAAAUUGCAGUUGAAACUGGCAGUCUUGAGUACAGUAGAGGUGGGCGGAAUUCGUGGUGUAGCGGUGAAAUGCUUAGAUAUCGCGAAGAACUCCGAUUGCGAAGGCAGUUCACUGGACUGCAACUGACACUGAGGCUCGAAAGUGUGGGUAUCAAACAGGAUUAGAUACCCUUGUAGUC
RNAcentral lists this ribosomal RNA (460 nucleotides) under uncultured bacterium. RNAcentral's name for it is "partial 16S ribosomal RNA". It matches the Rfam family "Bacterial small subunit ribosomal RNA", at positions 338 to 795 of the family's 1533-position model. The record is from RNAcentral.